RNAcentral lists this non-coding RNA (28 nucleotides) under Bombyx mori (domestic silkworm). The record is from RNAcentral. Lineage: Eukaryota; Metazoa; Arthropoda; Insecta; Lepidoptera; Bombycidae.
UGUUUUACUGUCCGUGAUGAAGAGGCGA